AAGUCGUAACAAGGUCUCCGUUGGUGAACCAGCGGAGGGAUCAUUACCGAGUUUACAAACUCCCAAACCCUUUGUGAACCUUACCAUAUCGUUGCUUCGGCGGGACCGCCCCGGCGCCUUCGGGCAACGGAACCAGGCGCCCGCCGGAGGCCCCAAACUCUUAUGUCUUUAGUGGUUUUCUCCUCUGAGUGACACAUAAACAAAUAAAUAAAAACUUUCAACAACGGAUCUCUUGGUUCUG
This 241-nucleotide unclassified non-coding RNA is filed under the name Xepicula jollymannii. Its description in RNAcentral is "partial internal transcribed spacer region". The stretch from base 1 to 46 matches the Rfam family "Eukaryotic small subunit ribosomal RNA", at positions 1786 to 1831 of the family's 1831-position model. Lineage: Eukaryota; Fungi; Ascomycota; Sordariomycetes; Hypocreales; Stachybotryaceae. The record is from RNAcentral.